UACGAAGGGGGCUAGCGUUGUUCGGAUUUACUGGGCGUAAAGCGCACGUAGGCGGAUCGUUAAGUCGGGGGUGAAAUCCUGGAGCUCAACUCCAGAACUGCCUUCGAUACUGGCGAUCUUGAGUCCGGAAGAGGUGAGUGGAACUCCUAGUGUAGAGGUGAAAUUCGUAGAUAUUCGCAAGAACACCAAGUGGCGAAGGCGGCUCACUGGCCCGAUACUGACGCUGAGGCACGAAAGCGUGGGGAGCAAACAGG
RNAcentral lists this ribosomal RNA (254 nucleotides) under uncultured bacterium. Its description in RNAcentral is "partial 16S ribosomal RNA". It matches the Rfam family "Bacterial small subunit ribosomal RNA", at positions 524 to 776 of the family's 1533-position model. The record is from RNAcentral.